AUCCGGCAGACGAGUCCCAAAUACGACGAAACGCGCGUCCUGGAU
Schistosoma margrebowiei is the source of this 45-nucleotide non-coding RNA. Lineage: Eukaryota; Metazoa; Platyhelminthes; Trematoda; Strigeidida; Schistosomatidae. The record is from Rfam.